RNAcentral lists this transfer RNA (114 nucleotides) under Aigarchaeota archaeon. RNAcentral's name for it is "tRNA-Ser". It matches the Rfam family "tRNA". Rfam says of the family: Transfer RNA (tRNA) molecules are approximately 80 nucleotides in length. Their secondary structure includes four short double-helical elements and three loops (D, anti-codon, and T loops). Lineage: Archaea; Thermoproteati; Nitrososphaerota. The record is from RNAcentral.
GCUGGGGUCUCAUAGUCUGGUAUGCUGCAUUGAAAGGCAGGCUGUGUGAGCAGGCCUGGAGAGCCUGUGGCCCCGUAAAGGGCCGCGUGGGUUCAAAUCCCACCCCCAGCGCCA